UACGUAGGGGGCAAGCGUUGUCCGGAAUCAUUGGGCGUAAAGCGCGUGUAGGCGGCCCGAUAAGUCCGCUGUGAAAGUCCAGGGCUCAACCCUGGAAUGCCGGUGGAAACUGUCGAGCUAGAGUCCGGAAGAGGCGAGUGGAAUUCCUGGUGUAGCGGUGAAAUGCGCAGAUAUCAGGAGGAACACCAAUGGCGAAGGCAGCUCGCUGGGACGGUACUGACGCUGAGACGCGAAAGCGUGGGGAGCAAACAGG
Molecule: ribosomal RNA, 253 nt
Filed under: uncultured bacterium
Lineage: Bacteria
Description: partial 16S ribosomal RNA
Rfam family: Bacterial small subunit ribosomal RNA
Source: RNAcentral